CCCCAAAAUUUUUUUUUGCUCUACAGCCCUUUGUGAACAUACCUAUAACUGUUGCUUCGGCGGGUAGGGUCUCCGCGACCCUCCCGGCCUCCCGCCUCCGGGCGGGUCGGCGCCCGCCGGAGGAUAACCAAACUCUGAUUUAACGACGUUUCUUCUGAGUGGUACAAGCAAAUAAUCAAAACUUUUAACAACGGAUCUCUUGGUUCUGGCAUCGAUGAAGAACGCAGCGAAAUGCGAUAAGUAAUGUGAAUUGCAGAAUUCAGUGAAUCAUCGAAUCUUUGAACGCACAUUGCGCCCGCCAGCAUUCUGGCGGGCAUGCCUGUUCGAGCGUCAUUUCAACCCUCAAGCUCUGCUUGGUGUUGGGGCCCUACAGCCGAUGUAGGCCCUCAAAGGUAGUGGCGGACCCUCCCGGAGCCUCCUUUGCGUAGUAACUUUACGUCUCGCACUGGGAUCCGGAGGGACUCUUGCCGUAAAACCCCCCAAUUUUCCAAAGGUUGACCUCGGAUCAGGUAGGAAUACCCGCUGAACUUAAGCAUAUCAAAAGGCCGGAGGAA
Molecule: ribosomal RNA, 554 nt
Filed under: Colletotrichum gloeosporioides
Lineage: Eukaryota; Fungi; Ascomycota; Sordariomycetes; Glomerellales; Glomerellaceae
Description: eukaryotic LSU rRNA
Rfam family: 5.8S ribosomal RNA (bases 180-333)
Source: RNAcentral